RNAcentral lists this unclassified non-coding RNA (329 nucleotides) under soil metagenome. RNAcentral describes it as "partial contains 5.8S ribosomal RNA, internal transcribed spacer 2, and large subunit ribosomal RNA". The stretch from base 1 to 120 matches the Rfam family "5.8S ribosomal RNA", at positions 35 to 154 of the family's 154-position model. The record is from RNAcentral.
GAUGAAGAACGCAGCGAAAUGCGAUAAGUAAUGUGAAUUGCAGAAUUCAGUGAAUCAUCGAAUCUUUGAACGCACAUUGCGCCCCUUGGUAUUCCGAGGGGCAUGCCUGUUCGAGCGUCAUUAUAACCCCUCAAGCUCAGCUUGGUGUUGGGGCCUGCUGCACUGGCAGCCCUUAAAAUCAGUGGCGGCGCCAUCUGGCUCUAAGCGUAGUAAUUCUUCUCGCUAUGGAGUCCUGGUGGAUGCUUACCAUCAACCCCCAAUUUUUCUAUGGUUGACCUCGGAUCAGGUAGGGAUACCCGCUGAACUUAAGCAUAUCAAUAAGCGGAGGA